AACUCUUUUUUUCUUAAAAAUAUAUUCUUUUCUCUUCCAACUCUUUUCUCUUCUCUACAGAAAUUGCAAAUAUAGAAAGAUUGAAUCUUAACUGGAAUGGUUGAUUUUCAUUAUUCAUAUGUCGGUUAGUUUUCUUCUCCCAAAUUUUUCUUCUCCCCAAUUUCUAGGGUUUCCAUUACCGGUUUUCGAAUGGGAAUGAUACACCAUACGGUGGAAUUUGAAAGCUUUAAGUAUAACAAACUGUGGAGAGUUAUUUUUCAGAGGGUACUUCAACUACACCAGUUUCUAAGAUGUAGUUGAUUUUUUGUGUUUACUUAAUGUUUCUUACAAAUUGAAUCUUUAAGUCUUGACUGCAGACUUGCAACAAUUGAUUGGUGUCAAAAAAUGUCCGGCUGCUGAUUUUGGUGGUGAAAGUGAUCAGCAAUUUUAAUUCUUUAUGAGAAACUUCCACGUAUUGUAUUGGGCAAUUUUGAUUAAACAUCUUAUCAAGUUAAUUACUUUGGCAACUGUCUUUGGGGAAAUAUGUAUUUAGUCUGCCUAAUAUAAGUUGAUUUGAAUGUUAAUUGAUAGAUUGAGUGCUUUUGUAUAAGCAUGUGUUCUGUGGGUAAGGUUCAGAACAAUUAACCAUCCACUACACCUGCUGCUGUAGUGUUCCCUGGACGUCCCAUAUAUGGUUUGCCUGCUAUUGAUGAAAGCAUUAUAACUGUUGGUGAAAGCAUUAUAAGCAUGUGUUCUGUGGGCAAGGUUCAGAACAAAGUGACUGUUUAAGUGGAAGAGGCGUCAAGGACCUGGGGUCCUGCAAAUUCUUCAACUGUUCCAUAACCUCUAAUCUCCUCUUCUAACCCGCUCUCUUUUAUAAUGAAUAAAGAAGAAAAAGGAAGUGUUUAGUACUUUCUGCAAGUUCUUGAGGAAUAACAAUGUUCAAUCAGACAAGUGAAAGUAUUACU
RNAcentral lists this long non-coding RNA (947 nucleotides) under Aquilegia coerulea. Its description in RNAcentral is "long non-coding RNA (ACOE_LNC002244)". The record is from RNAcentral. Lineage: Eukaryota; Viridiplantae; Streptophyta; Magnoliopsida; Ranunculales; Ranunculaceae.